Molecule: ribosomal RNA, 33 nt
Filed under: Cladosporium cladosporioides
Lineage: Eukaryota; Fungi; Ascomycota; Dothideomycetes; Cladosporiales; Cladosporiaceae
Also listed under: 31 other names
Description: partial 28S ribosomal RNA
Source: RNAcentral
GUUGACCUCGGAUCAGGUAGGGAUACCCGCUGA